Molecule: RNA transcript, 4814 nt
Organism: Lolium rigidum
Lineage: Eukaryota; Viridiplantae; Streptophyta; Magnoliopsida; Poales; Poaceae
Exons: 10
Source: RefSeq, a predicted model, not a curated record
AACCGAUUCAGUCUGACCGGGUUGCUCCCAAGAUCUAAUCCAGAGUCGCUGCUAUUCUAGAUUUUCUUCAACUGCUGAGCCGACGCGACGGAGACGGAGACGGCGGUGGAGACACCGAUCCAGGCGACGACUUCUCGAUCCAUCUGUUCGUAGAGAUAUUUCGUGUUUCCUCUAAAACAAAUCGAUUCUUUGCAGAAGCCAUAAUUGUUUUUGCAAAUCCAAGUAAUUUCCUAGCGCAAGUUCGACCGAUCUACGAAUUCCUCGAGCUAUGUCUGAGCUGGCUCUCUCUCACGAGGAGGACAAGGAAGAGGAAGAGGGGGAAGACGGUGAUCUGGAGGACACCCCCCUAGACCCCUCUGAUGUGCUACGAUUUGUUCAAAGUGUCUGCAACGUUGAACCUGCCAAGAGGUUAAACUUGAUGAGAGAUGCCUUAGGUGUUCCACCCAAACCCCGCGACUGGCCCAACAUCAGCGUGCUCCCUGAGUCGUCUAGACAUCGAAGACAUGUGGGUGACCUUUACUGGCACCAGACUUACCAAAUGAACCAACUCUCCGAGACUUGUUUGCCGCCUAUGAGGUAUACUCAAUGUUGUGACCAAUCCACAGUUGGGCAGCAACGGUGCUUUCACAAGCCGUGCCCUAUGCUCCAAAUCUUCUCUACCAGGGUGCAGCUGGCAGAUUACCCUGGUCCAACCGAGGUGUACGGUUGCAUCGCGGUCCGAGACUCCGAGGAUUAUCGCCGCAUUUAUCUUUUCAACCGAUCCCGAGAUGACCCGCUCACCAUCAAUUCGUUGCUCAGUCACCCCACCAUUACACUACAUCAUGGGAUUCAAAAACGAAUUGUGGUCAUUUGUUGCUGGACACCACACUGACUGAUAUUAAUUUUAAGAGAUAGAGAAGUUGGGGUCAGGAGAAGGAUUAGUGGCAGGAUGGACAUCUCGUUACCUCGUUUAUGGUUUUGAACUAAUGAGCUUGCUCUUUUCCAUGAUGAAUACCACAUAUACAUAUGUAGUGUCAUGUAGUUUCAGGCUAGCGAUUAUCUGCGACUUUUGAGCCCGAAAAGAGGCAUGUCCAUGCAAUUUGACUGCCUUGUUGAAGUCGAUAUCAGAACAAAGGCAUUGUCGGGUGAUGCAGAUGACAAAAUUUUAGUUGACGGGUGUUUUGACCUAAUCGAGGGACGGGCUACUUUCGACGUGCUCUCUAGAAGCGUGCUGGAAGGUGAACAUGGUGCUAUUGUUUUUGAUCUGAUCAUGUUUCGGAGAAGCGUCGAGGCAACCAUUCAUAUGAACUUCUUGGAAGUGCCCGGAGAUGGGUUUGAUAUAAAGAUGUGCGGGUUCACUGCCAUUUGGAAGAAUCUGUAUGCUUUCAUAGACUGCGAACAAUGCGAGUGUGAUAGCUUCGUCUCCUCGACCGGGAAAUUCACACAGUAUUUUGUAGCGGCUGUGCAGAUGGAUGAUACACUGUUUAUCGAUUUUAUGGAGGGGAAUAUGCCAAUCUCAUUUGAAGCAGCUAUUCAUGGCACCGAGGAAAAAGUAUAUUACUUUCGUAAUGGUGCUGUGGUGUCUGUGAAGGUGUCUUGGUCGACAGCCCACUAUUAAGGAAUAUAAUUAGAGUUUAAUUAAAGUACACUUUGUAGUAAAAAGUGCCGGGGAGGGAGCACUAUUUUACAACGUGUUGAAUGAAGUUUCCGUUUUUAGAAGACUUGUUGCCAAGUAAUUUAUCAGUGUUUUACCUUUUUUUUUUCUGCCAUACUGUAAGUGGUAAAAAAAUCUAGUUCCCACUAAGAAGUGGAGGUACAGAACCAUUCUGAAACAUCUUUAGUGAAAACAACUCAAAUAUAAGUUUACGAUUCACCGUUGGUUCUAACAUGGGGAAAGUUAAGUCAUCCGCUUAAACAUCUAUAAAAACCUUGAGAAAUCCGAGGGCCGGACUCUUGAUUCCAACAUGUUUCCGAGUAUUUUGUUUAUGACUUUUGAAUUUUUUAUUUGUUACACAUGAAUUGCAAAUUGUUAUUUCUGAUUUUAUAUACUAUGCAAAGUUAAACAAAAUGUGGGUCCCACCAAGACACAGUUCACGUUCAGCCGCUCACCACCAAGAGAGGGAACCUGAAGUAUGGUUUUUAUUUACUUUAUUUCUUCAAGUUUAUUCCCUUCAAUCCAAAUUAAUCAAAGUUCUAGGCUUUCCCCCCAGUCUUGAAAGAUACAGUAGUAUAAUACAAUGCACUCAUAGAGAAGGAAAAAAAAAGAAACAUUUUGCAUCCAUAUAUAGAAGCAACUCGCCAAGAAAGGGCAAGGAUGUUAAUAUAUACUGUUCAUAUAUACAUAAUCCAUGUUGGCACAUGGAACUGAUAAAAAGUACACUUUGCAGGCAGGUAACUAUAGGAACUUGGACAACAGAAAUUGUGCUUAUUGAUGUACUCCCUCCCAUCCAUGCAUUUUGCAUCCAUAUAUUUUUCUCGAUAGAGAUUUUCCUUCGGUGUGCCCAGCUUCUUCUCCAGGUCCCCCCGAGAUGCCAUUGCAGCUCCACGCCACCGUCCGUCAUCGCUGCCGCCAUCACGGGAGGUACUCCGCCGUGCCUUCUAUGGCACACUCCAUCAAAAUUGAGGCACCCUCCUCUCAGCAGGAAGCCAUGCUGCUCCUUGGCGGACGGGCCAAAUCCCCAUCGAGUUCAUCGAGAAGCUCCUCGACCGUGCGCUGGUUCGCUACGCCCCGUGGUCGGCCUCCUCGAGGAUAUCCUCACCAUGGCGUGCACCUGUGAGGGUGUGCCGUUUCAUGACGACGAUGGCGAGCUGCUCAAUGGCGGAUCCCUCAAGACGUGCCGUUCUCGACGGGCCUCCUGGACAACUGCACCAUCAAAUCUCCUGGGCGGACGCUUGGGGAUUCGACUGCGCCGGUGAUGGAGAUGGGACAGGACCCGACGCGGAUGGAGGUCCCUGAUGUCGCGCUUGAUGUCCACCAUGGAGCGGCUGCAGGAGAGCACGGCGGGGGAGCAGCGGAGUUCAUGCUCACGGGUUGGUUCGCCCUUACCUGGUGGUUGUGAUGCUUUCCGUCAGCGAUUGGUGCAGGUUCCAUGUGGUGGAUUGGUGGCACUAGACAGUCGCCGUCCACAGCGACAGUGUACUGAGAGUCGGCAGUUUGGAUGGUAUGCAUUGUCAGCUAUGAACGUAUAGCCUAAUAGCUGCAGCAUGGUUAUGAAAUUUAAGUACUCUACCAAAAAGGGGACUACGGGCUUCAACAUCAGUAAAUUAAUUAGGAAAUAACACUUCCAAGAUCAUCUACUGCCACCAAGUUCAUGUAGAUCAAAUGUUCAUAGCCAUCAGCAGGUGCAUGAAUUUAGAGGCUGGAGGUGAUGGAAAAUCACAGCUGAGAUUUAUAGUGUUGCGAUGCUAAUUUAGAGAUCUUGGCAAGCAAGAUGUAUGCAAAUUAUUCCGUCGUCUCCUCAACAGCUUCUGGAUGUUCAAAAAUACAAAGCUACUGGCUGGCUUUGAAUACUACUUCCGAACCUAGCCAAAGAGAAGCAGGAGGUUGUCUUGCUGUUAACACUAAUUGCUGCAAGAAAAUGGCAACUUAUUUUUGCCUCUAAUUUAGUGUGAUCGGUUCACCGACACCACUCAUGACGCCACUCCUAAGUUGAGAAUAUACGAGAGCUCAUUGUGUCUUCAGCUGAUCAGAACAACAAUCAACUAAAGCAUUGUUUUCUUCCAGAGAACUCCAUGGUUUGUUUUGCUAUUAUUUCUUAGAUCAUGUUCAGCUCUUUCCAUGGUUCCAAGGCGAUGCAUAUCAGUUGAAGAACAAGCGUGUUGCUCAAGUUUAAUGUUGCACGCAAGGCAAGGGGUCACGAAGACUUGAAUCUUCUAGGUUCACUUAAUGGCUAGAACAAAAUCGUCAUCUGAUGCCUUCACCACCAUCCGAGUCAUGACUAGAAUCUUAGAAACCCUCUUCACCGCCUCAUUGGGCUAUCUAUGGAUUGUGUGUCAGUGGAGCAAUUGGUCUAAUGCACAUCUAUGGAUAGCCACUAUUGUCUGUCAAGAUAAACACAAUGGCCAAGUAAGUGAACAGUGACAGUUCUAGAUGAUUCAUUAGUUUAUGUAUGUACGAAGAUAUCGAAAACAGUGAGUUGACGUUCCGUAUUGUUAUAUCUCAUUUUUCUCUAUUCUAACAAAGGGUACUUAAAAUGUAGCUAUCCAUCAACAAUUUAGAGCCUAUCCAGUGAAAUUAUUUAUGUGUCAAUAUAUCAUGAUUUACCAGUAGCUUGAAUGCCAAUAUUCGCGACUGUAGACUGAGCAUGACAUAUCAUGUUUAUUUUUUUAUUUCAUUCUAUCCAUCUCCUUGCAACUUUCGAUGAUAUUGUUGUCGAGGUUUUGAAGGCAGGUGAAAGUGAGGUGGCUUAGCAGGUACCACAAGCGUUUGCCUAUUUUUUGUUGCUAUUGCACUAUAAUUGACGUACAUAUCUUGGUUACUGAGGUUAGAUCUCUUGACAGUUAUUUUCUUAACUUCUCUUGCUGGUACUAUUGCCCCAUAGUUGUAUUUAUACCAGAUUCAUAUGAGUAGUAUGAAUAUGUUCUUUGGUUUGUUGUUAAAUUCUCUUACCUUUUGUUGUAUCUCCCUGCUUACUCUAUAAAUAUGAAAGGAUGCGCAACUUCUGGUUUACACAACGACUAUAAAGAAGCAAAUGACUGAAUAUCAGGCCCUGUAAUUUUGAUUUUGAGAACUUAUAUGUGUUUGUGCUCUGGUCCAGGUCUCCUUAAAUAAAUACAAUACAUCAUUACUGUCCAAUUUCCUUAAUUGAAUUUAAUGUUCAACGAGUUAUGUUGAA